This 1497-nucleotide ribosomal RNA is filed under the name Streptococcus pyogenes GA06023. Its description in RNAcentral is "bacterial LSU rRNA". It matches the Rfam family "Bacterial large subunit ribosomal RNA", at positions 821 to 2202 of the family's 2925-position model. The record is from RNAcentral. Lineage: Bacteria; Bacillati; Bacillota; Bacilli; Lactobacillales; Streptococcaceae.
GUGAAAGGCCAAUCAAAUUCCGUGAUAGCUGGUUCNCUCCGAAAUGCAUUUGGGUGCAGCGUCGGGUCAUUACGUCCCGGGGGUAGAGCUACUGGAUGCUUGCGGGCCCGUAUCGGGUACCAACAGCAACCAAACUCCGAAUACCGGUGACGCGUAUCCCGGCAGUGAGUCGGCGGGGGAUAAGCUUCGUCGUCGAAAGGGAAACAGCCCAGACCGUCGUCUAAGGUCCCGAAGCGUGUGCUAAGUGGGAAAGGAUGUGGAGUCGCAUAGACAGCCAGGAGGUUGGCUCAGAAGCAGCCACCCUUGAAAGAGUGCGUAACAGCUCACUGGUCUAGUGGUUCCGCGCCGACAAUGUAGCGGGGCUCAAGCACACCACCGAAGACGCGGCAGUAUUUUGUACUGGGUAGGAGAGCGUCCCGUGAGGGGCGAAGCGGCCGUGUGAACGCGCCGUGGACUUCAUGGGAGUGAGAAUGCAGACAUGAGUAGCGAGAGACGGGUGAAGAUCCCGUCCGCUGGAUGACCAAGGGUUCCAGGGCCACGUUCAUCGUCCCUGGGUGAGUCGGGUCCUAAGGCGAGGCCGACAGGCGUAGUCGAAUGGAUGAACGGGUCGAUAUUCCCGUACCGGCUUUCAGCCGCCAAAAACCGAGGCUUGGAGUACUAACCUCCGGGUCCGGCUUACUGCUCCUUCGGGGGCGGGAUGCCCUGGCCUGUUGGGACCGAUCCUUGUAGUAGGUCAGCGCAGGAGUGACGCAGAAGGGUAGCCGGCCGCGGAGGUGGUCUUCCGUGGUCAAGCACGCAGGGCGUGGGACAGGCAAAUCCGUCCCGCAUGGGUCCGAGGUGCGAUGAUGGGGGCCUUAUGGCCCGAUAUCCGGUGAUCCCGGCUGCCGAGAAAAGCUUCGGCGUCAGGCUCAAAGCCGCCCGUACCCCAAAACCGACACUGGUGGUCAGGUAGAGAAUACCAAAGCGAUCGAGCGAAUCCUGGUCAAGGAACUCGGCAAAUCACUCCCGUUCCUUCGGUUUAAGGGAGACCCCCGAUGGUGAACACACUUGCUGUGGGAGCUUUUGGGGGUGGCACAGACCAGGGGGUAGCGACUGUUUACCAAAAACACAGGUGCAUGCGAAGGCGCAAGCCGCUGUAUAUGCACUGACGCCUGCCCGGUGCCGGAAGGUUAAGAGGAUCCGUCAGCCUUCGGGUGAAGCGGUGAAUUCAAGCCCCGGUAAACGGCGGUGGUAACUAUAACCAUCCUAAGGUAGCGAAAUUCCUUGUCGGGUAAGUUCCGACCUGCACGAAUGGCGUAACGACUUCCCCACUGUCUCGACCAGGAGCUCGGCGAAAUUGCAGUACGAGUAAAGAUGCUCGUUAAGCGCAGAAGGACGAAAAGACCCCGGGACCUUUACUAUACCUUGGUAUUGGCAUUCGGUGUGGAUUGUGUAGCAUAGGCGGGAGGCCGAGAGGCGCGGUCGCCAGAUCGCGCGGAGCCGUAAGGUGAAAUACCG